CGGUCCGGCCGGGAACUCAAAGGAGACUGCCAGUGAUAAACUGGAGGAAGGUGGGGAUGACGUCAAGUCAUCAUGGCCCUUACGACCAGGGCUACACACGUGCUACAAUGGCGCAUACAAAGAGAAGCGACCUCGCGAGAGCAAGCGGACCUCAUAAAGUGCGUCGUAGUCCGGAUUGGAGUCUGCAACUCGACUCCAUGAAGUCGGAAUCGCUAGUAAUCGUGGAUCAGAAUGCCACGGUGAAUACGUUCCCGGGCCUUGUACACACCGCCCGUCACACCAUGGGAGUGGGUUGCAAAAGAAGUAGGUAGCUUAACCUUCGGGAGGGCGCUUACCACUUUGUGAUUCAUGACUGGGGUGAAGUCGUAACAAGGUAACCGUAGGGGAACCUGCGGUUGGAUCACCUCCUU
RNAcentral lists this ribosomal RNA (410 nucleotides) under Escherichia coli. Its description in RNAcentral is "bacterial SSU rRNA". It matches the Rfam family "Bacterial small subunit ribosomal RNA", at positions 1122 to 1532 of the family's 1533-position model. The record is from RNAcentral. Lineage: Bacteria; Pseudomonadati; Pseudomonadota; Gammaproteobacteria; Enterobacterales; Enterobacteriaceae.